Long non-coding RNA from Panicum virgatum (switchgrass), 387 nucleotides. RefSeq lists it as uncharacterized. Lineage: Eukaryota; Viridiplantae; Streptophyta; Magnoliopsida; Poales; Poaceae. The transcript is spliced from 2 exons. The record is from RefSeq and is a predicted model, not a curated record.
UUCAGCUCAUUCAGGUUCGCAAGUUUUUUUUAAAGAAACAGGAGGGGAAAUCCCCACUGUAGGUUUGCAAGAUUUCACAAAAUAUUGUUUUAUGAACUCUAUAAGUACAUGAGGAGGCAAAUAACUCAUUUUCUCAAUCUGAUUGUAGACAAAGUUUUUGUAUCCUCGUACAUGUGAGAAUUGGAUUUUGAAAUUGAUCGGAAGAGAUUGGAGAAAAUACAAGGCAACACUAAAAAAGAAACUAUUUAACCAAAAUAAGAAAAGAUCUUAUUUGUACAAGCUCUGUCUACAUGAUGUUGAUCAAGACCAAUGGGAUAAUCUAAUAAGAUAUUGGAAGUCUGCGGAAGGAAAGGCCCUUAGUGAGAAGAACAAAAUAAGCUGUGAAAU